AGGCUCAAAGUUCUGAAAAAACCUGUUCGAAUGUUCGACAACUCUUCUCCGGUGGUCGUGGCUCUUCUCUUCGGUGAUUUAAAGCAUCUCUGUGGAAAGCAUUCUCUCCAGUUGUGGCUUUUUUCUCUUCGGCGGUCGUGGCUCUUCUCUUCAGCGGUUGGAAGAGGUGGUGGACAGAGGAGAUCGAACCUUCAUCCACCGAAGCUUUCCCACUUUUUUCCUCCCCUUUUCUCUCGUUAUCUUAUCAACCCAGCCGACCUAGCUUCCUUUCCCCUGUUAUUGUCGUCCCAAAUGAACCGCCGUUGCAACUCCUAGUAACGACGGCGUUCUUCUCUCUAUUUCUCUCCCACUCACCCGUUCUCUCUAUCGCUAUCAUUCUGUUCUCCUUAGUUCUUUUCUCUUCUCCCUCUCCCUCUCUUUCCUUCUCUGCAGUCAUUUCUUAUCAUCUUCUCAUCGGCGCAUCAGUAGAGCUACAGCGGUGAAUGUCCCUUCUGGUUCUCACUCCAUUUCAAGUCAGCAGUAGCAGAGAUUGUGGAAUUCUCAUCGUCAUCAUCUGUUGAAGCUCGUAGAUGAAUAUUUGCCUCACUGUGAUUUACCAUCCUAACCGAAAUCCAAGAAGAUUCCCUCCGUAGUAGCAAAGAUCAAAAAGGAGUGAAGCAAUUUUUCAUUCUACCUCAACCAUCUUCGUUGUCCAAGACGAACCGACAGAAACCAAAGAAGCCUCCCCUGUUGCAUUGGCCGACGGAUGAAGGAAUCUAGCAAUGAAAAUGGAAGCAAUUCUGAAGAUGUCAAUGAAACAUCUAUGGCAUCAGGUUCUAGUCAAAGGAGGACUAGAUCUAAAGCUUGGGAACACUU
Molecule: non-coding RNA, 855 nt
Organism: Nelumbo nucifera (sacred lotus)
Lineage: Eukaryota; Viridiplantae; Streptophyta; Magnoliopsida; Proteales; Nelumbonaceae
Source: RefSeq, a predicted model, not a curated record